CUACUGCUAAUACCGGAUAUGCCGAAAGGUGAAAGAUUUAUUGCCUGGAGAUGAGCUCGCGUCUGAUUAGCUAGUUGGUGAGGUAAGAGCUUACCAAGGCAUCGAUCAGUAGCUGGUCUGAGAGGAUGAUCAGCCACACUGGGACUGAGACACGGCCCAGACUCCUACGGGAGGCAGCAGUGGGGAAUUUUCCGCAAUGGGCGAAAGCCUGACGGAGCAAUACCGCGUGAGGGAGGAAGGCUUUUGGGUUGUAAACCUCUUUUCUUAAGGAAGAACACAAUGACGGUACUUAAGGAAUAAGCAUCGGUUAACUCCGUGCCAGCAGCCGCGGUAAUACGGAGGAUGCAAGCGUUAUCCGGAAUGAUUGGGCGUAAAGCGUCCGCAGGUGGUUUUGUAAGUCUGUUGUUAAAGCGUGAGGCUCAACCUCAUAAUGGCAGUGGAAACUACAAGACUAGAGUACGUUCGGGGCAGAGGGAAUUCCUGGUGUAGCGGUGAAAUGCGUAGAUAUCAGGAAGAACACCGGUGGCGAAAGCGCUCCGUUAGGCCGUAACUGACACUGAGGGACGAAAGCUAGGGGAGCG
Molecule: ribosomal RNA, 581 nt
Filed under: uncultured bacterium
Lineage: Bacteria
Description: bacterial SSU rRNA
Rfam family: Bacterial small subunit ribosomal RNA
Source: RNAcentral